This is a small nucleolar RNA of Gracilinanus agilis (Agile Gracile Mouse Opossum), 67 nucleotides long. RefSeq annotates it as small nucleolar RNA SNORD42. The transcript has a single exon. The record is from RefSeq and is a predicted model, not a curated record. NCBI's taxonomy places the organism in Eukaryota, Metazoa, Chordata, Mammalia, Didelphimorphia, Didelphidae.
AUGCAAGUGAUGGAAAAAUAUCAUUUUACAGAAAAAAAUGAUGCUAACAAAGGAACCACUGAUGCAU